RNAcentral lists this small RNA (571 nucleotides) under Malus domestica (apple). RNAcentral's name for it is "sRNA MD02G0205600". The record is from RNAcentral. Lineage: Eukaryota; Viridiplantae; Streptophyta; Magnoliopsida; Rosales; Rosaceae.
UAGAGGGGUUUGCGGGUGGGAGAGUGAUUUCUGGGAAUGGAAAUCCCAUCCCGUGAUUUCCCUCCGUCAUCUCUGUUUUCCCCCAUCUCACCUCUUUCAGACUCUCUUUCUUCCAACUCUCCAUCUCUCUCAACCCUCCCCAUCUUCCCCUUCUCCGUAAAACCCAGAGGCUGAGAGGCCCGAGUCUACAUCCCAACUCGCCGUUCCGCCGCCGUCGACUGAGAGAACAUCAUCGAUCCGACUUUUGGAUCGAUUUCCUUGCCACCUCGUUCACAGUGUUGGGAGCGAUGGCUAUCCCACCGAUAGGCCGAUCUCUUCCAAGUCGGUGGAAGGUGAGAGAGAGAGAAAUGCCGAUCUUUUUCAGGAAUACUGAGGGUGGAAGUUCCUUGAACUGAUAAUCUGGCCUUUCCCAACUCAAGACAAGUUAUGUUGUUGUGCUGCGCCCGAGUCAUGGCAACCAUGUCACAGUCCGACUCCAGACGGACGGUUAUAUUCUUGGUGGUGGGAUAGUCACAUUCGACAGGAGAAUCUUACAGGUCUUGAUAUUUUUCCCUAAAAUUUAUCUGUUUAG